Molecule: long non-coding RNA, 370 nt
Organism: Passer domesticus (house sparrow)
Lineage: Eukaryota; Metazoa; Chordata; Aves; Passeriformes; Passeridae
Exons: 3
Source: RefSeq, a predicted model, not a curated record
AAGCUUAGGUAUUAACAUGCAUCAGUCUAUUUUACUUCAAGGAGUAGUGGUGACAUUUUAGUGAGGUUUGGCUGGUGUUUCUGUUGGUGGAUUUACAGGUCUCCUGUCCUGUCUUUCUUUGCAGCUGAACCUGCUGGUGAAGGUGGUGCAGCUUCCCAAGCCACGUCCAGGACUGAGGCUCUGGGAGAUGCUGAGGGUGUGUCUGCAGGGAGGACUUCUCCAGCUCCUUUGCUGAUUCCUACAGAGAAGCCUGGCAACCAUCGCAGGGGUCCUCCAAGGGGGAAGGACCAAGCCACAGGACACCACAAACCCCAUGAUCCAUCCGAAAACAUGAGGCAAAUGCUGAAGGAAAUGCAGCAGGCAGGAGAAG